AGAUCCCUCUGUGGUCCCAGCGGGUCAUCUACCUCCAGGGCUCUGCGCUCAAAGACCAGGACCUCAUGCGAGCUAACCAUCCUCCCAAUCUCUUCGUGUG
Molecule: small RNA, 100 nt
Filed under: Pongo abelii (Sumatran orangutan)
Lineage: Eukaryota; Metazoa; Chordata; Mammalia; Primates; Hominidae
Description: processed transcript
Source: RNAcentral